GAUGAACGCUGGCGGUGGGCCUAACACAUGCAAGUCGCGCGAGCUAAUUCAAGAUCCCUUCCGGGCGAUUUGUUGGCCGCUAGCGGCGGGUGGGUGGGUAACACGUGGGCAAUCUGCCCUAAAGACUGGGAUACCACUUGGAAACAGGUGCUAAUACCGGAUAACAACAUGAAUCGCAUGAUUCAAGUUUGAAAGGCGGCGCAAGCUGUCACUUUAGGAUGAGCCCGCGGCGCAUUAGCUAGUUGGUGGGGUAAAGGCCUACCAAGGCAAUGAUGCGUAGCCGAGUUGAGAGACUGAUCGGCCACAUUGGGACUGAGACACGGCCCAAACUCCUACGGGAGGCAGCAGUAGGGAAUCUUCCACAAUGGACGCAAGUCUGAUGGAGCAACGUCGCGUGAGUGAAGAAGGUCUUCGGAUCGUAAAGCUCUGUUGUUGGUGAAGAAGGAUAGAGGCAGUAACUGGUCUUUAUUUGACGGUAAUCAACCAGAAAGUCACGGCUAACUACGUGCCAGCAGCCGCGGUAAUACGUAGGUGGCAAGCGUUGUCCGGAUUUAUUGGGCGUAAAGCGAGCGCAGGCGGAAUGAUAAGUCUGAUGUGAAAGCCCACGGCUCAACCGUGGAACUGCAUCGGAAACUGUCAUUCUUGAGUGCAGAAGAGGAGAGUGGAACUCCAUGUGUAGCGGUGGAAUGCGUAGAUAUAUGGAAGAACACCAGUGGCGAAGGCGGCUCUCUGGUCUGCAACUGACGCUGAGGCUCGAAAGCAUGGGUAGCGAACAGGAUUAGAUACCCUGGUAGUCCAUGCCGUAAACGAUGAGCGCUAGGUGUUGGGGACUUUCCGGUCCUCAGUGCCGCAGCAAACGCAUUAAGCGCUCCGCCUGGGGAGUACGGCCGCAAGAUGA
This 898-nucleotide ribosomal RNA is filed under the name uncultured Lactobacillus sp. RNAcentral's name for it is "bacterial SSU rRNA". It matches the Rfam family "Bacterial small subunit ribosomal RNA", at positions 28 to 896 of the family's 1533-position model. Lineage: Bacteria; Bacillati; Bacillota; Bacilli; Lactobacillales; Lactobacillaceae. The record is from RNAcentral.